This 280-nucleotide ribosomal RNA is filed under the name uncultured bacterium. RNAcentral describes it as "partial 16S ribosomal RNA". It matches the Rfam family "Bacterial small subunit ribosomal RNA", at positions 333 to 631 of the family's 1533-position model. The record is from RNAcentral.
UAACCCUACGGGAGGCAGCAGUGGGGAAUAUCGCACAAUGGGGGAAACCCUGAUGCAGCGACGCCGCGUGAGUGAAGAAGUAUUUCGGUAUGUAAAGCUCUAUCAGCAGGGAAGAAAAUGACGGUACCUGACUAAGAAGCCCCGGCUAACUACGUGCCAGCAGCCGCGGUAAUACGUAGGGGGCAAGCGUUAUCCGGAUUUACUGGGUGUAAAGGGAGCGUAGACGGCGAUGCAAGUCUGAAGUGACAGGCGGGGGCCCAACCCCCGGACUGCUUUGGAA